Molecule: ribosomal RNA, 229 nt
Filed under: uncultured bacterium
Lineage: Bacteria
Description: partial 16S ribosomal RNA
Rfam family: Bacterial small subunit ribosomal RNA
Source: RNAcentral
UGGGCAACCUGCCCUCAGCUCUGGGAUAACUCCAAGAAAUUGGGGCUAAUACCGGAUAUGACCGCUGACCGCAUGGUCUGGUGGUGGAAAGAUUUAUCGGCUGGGGAUGGGCCCGCGGCCUAUCAGCUUGUUGGUGGGGUAGUGGCCUACCAAGGCGACGACGGGUAGCCGGCCUGAGAGGGUGACCGGCCACACUGGGACUGAGACACGGCCCAGACCUCCUACGGGA